CCCGCGAGAGCCAUUACAUAUUUCGUGGGCAGGCGAGGAAGGGAGCGAGACCAGUUUUGUUCCCAAGGUCCACCGGAGAAGGAACUGGACACCUGCAGAUGCUUCCGUCUUCCCGAGACGAGGUCCUUAUGUAGCGUCCCGUGCGGACUCCUCCUCCUCCCCACUCGAAUCCUCUCUGGCUCUGCAGUUCCUCGGCCGUGUCAGUCAGCUCAGUUCUCGCGGAAAAUGCAGCUCUUCAAAAACGUUGUGCCCGACAGGAGAAGUGUAGCGGAACGGGUGCUAGAUUGGACGAAAUCUUCGAGAGCGAUCGUGUUUGUGAUGAUCAUUUGGAUGAUAGCUGGUUUCGGCCUCAUUUCCCACUUCCUGCGGAAAAACAACCUGCAGGGGUCCAUCAUAACUCUGGCGUUCAUCUUCCCCGUCUUUGGUGUGGUGUAUUCUUGUACCAGAAUCAGGGAUAUAACUCAGUGUGUCAUUCAGAUGUACCAUUCCAACAAGAAGGUCAAGAGAGAAAAACCUCCGUCUUACGAUGACGUCAUGAGUGGCGAAGCCCCUCCCCCAGCCUACUACGAACUCUUCAGCGAGGUCGAGGGUCACGGCCAGGACCCAGCAGCAGAAGGUGUCGCCGAUCUCUCCUCUUCCCCGUCACCACCUUUGCCGCUGCCAUUCUCGGGAGAGCUGACCCACAGACAACGGCGGACGUCGGUGGCGAAAUCCGACACGCGCAAGACGAGGAGUUUCGACGUCAUUUACGUGCCGGCGAUAGUGACCAGGCUGAGGAGGAGACUGUCUCUCAGUUCAGUGUGCGGAGCCAAAUGAGGGAGGAGAGAAUGGACUGUAUUUCAGAGACUUGCCCCCAGAUAUAUGAGACAAAGUGACUCUAGUCCUAACACUAGAGCAAAACAAAAUUUAGUUUUUAAGUUUUACAUUUAUUUAUUUAAUGCUAAACUAUUUCUCCUAUUAAUAUUCAGGGUAUAUAUUUAUUAAAAGUUAUCCUUCACAACAGCCAUACUUCAGGGAAGUAUGCCUCGACGCAUUCACUUGAUUUCUUUUGGAGAGAGGAGAGAGAGAGAGAGAGAGAGAGAGAGAGAGAGAGAGAGAGAGAGAGAGAGAGAAUAUUGAGUUAGGACAGAACUGAGCUAAAUUACGUUACAUAGCUACGUAACGUAAACUUCUGUUCGAAAAUGAACUCUACACAGAGAAAAUGAAGCACAUUCAAGCACCAAGGUCCACAGUAGCCGAGAUUUAUGACGACCCGCUACGGCAACAGGGUACCAAUGAGAAGAUGAGAAGAGACUGAGAGGGCACUGAGAAGACCAGUGACUCCCCACGGAUGAACUCCUCAAAGAAUCUAAUUGGGAACCAGGACGACACGAACAAGAAAACAUUGGAGAAGACGGACAAUCACGUCCUCAUCGACACUGGUGAACGCUACUGGCGAAUAAAUAGAAUUCCAAGUAGGCCCAUGCAUAGGAAAAACAUUGAAAACAUCAGUUAGAUAGAAUAUACACUUUAGGCUGGAGGCCAAGCACUGGGACCCAUGAGGUCAUUCAGCUAUGAAAUAAAAAUGGAGAAUAAGAGAUUUGAAAGGUGUAACAGGAGGAAACCCUCGCAGUUGCACUAUGAUACGAUUGUUAGAAGAGUCUGGAACGUAAGAGGGAAGACAGAAUAUGAAAGGAGGUACAGCAUAAGGAAUAAAAGUAGAUGCAGUUAGGGACUGAAGGGACGCACCAAAGAAACUUAAGUAUAAAGCUUACGUAUAAAGGAUUGAAAACAUCUGGGCCACCACAUUCUUACGGUGCAAGAUGAUUAUGAACGUGGAUACGUGCAUGAUCCAUCACAUUCUUGACCAAGCACCCCAUGACUACUCUCUCCAUUCUGCAUUCAUUAAUGAUCACGGAGCUUCAGUUCCUUCACUAAACAGUCAGGGUUCUUCUUCUACUCUUUUGUAUGUAUCCUACGUCGACGCCCUAUCUCUCAAAACGAACACAUCCCUCAACUUUUAGCUCCAUCAGAGUUAGGUACUAGAAUAUCUCCUGAUAUAAUUUCCAAUUUUCAUUUUCUAGUAUUUGAAUGAUUUUAAAUUUAUUUAAAUUUUUUCAUAUUUAUUUUAACAUUCAUAAAUGUUUUCACUGAAAAUAUUUUUUUAAGUAUAAUUAUACGUACUUUGGAUUGUCUUACAACCCUGAUGAUGGGACAAAAUAUCCCAAAAAUUUGGGCAAUAAACACGAAAUACUACUCUGGCUGUUUUCUCAUUAUUCUUAUUCCUUCUGAAUCUUUAGCAUUUCAGAUGCCUCAACCUUUCUGUCUUUAAAUAUAUAUAAUAUGCACAUAGGAAUGUCAAAAUCCAUAUGACUGAUACCCCAGAGCCGUACCCCAUGUUGACAUUAGCCAAGAAACUGAAUUCUAUCUUGACACUUUAUGUACCCUCUCUCUCAUGCAUUUGAUCACCUAAUGAAUUUCCGUGGAGGCUCUAGGGGCUAACGACUCAGGGAAACAUUGUAUCCCUGGGGGUGAAAUCUCUAUUUAUUAAUAUAUCUGUGGAUACUUCAAAGAGAUCAUCUUUGACACUGUCAAUAUAGAUGCCAGCUCCCAAUAAUUAAGCAGAUAUACACCAAGAGCACAACCCCCUUCAGAUCUUGUGGAUAUGUGAUACGUAUUCGUACUGUACAGCAAGAUGGCAUUGCAAUCAGUACUCUCUGCACGUUACUUGGACCAUUGAAGAAAGUAUAUUCACCCGUAGAAAAAUGCCCUUCAACCACUUCAUGUAAUUAUAUGCCAAAGAAAAGCUAAAGUAUCUAUGAAGAGCCUCUAUCAAAGUGUUGGGCCAAACAUAAAUGACAAAGAAAAGCUACGGGAUCUGAAGAUUUCAUUGAAGACAAGGGACAAACCUUAAAUUUAGACUCAAUAUCGACAACUAGCUGUUUCUCACGGAUGUUCACUUGACUCAAAAAGAAUGAAGGCUUAGAAACCUAUAAAUCUGGGUCUUGGCCAGAACAGGAAUAGUGAAUCCCCUAGAAAAAACCUACAGAUUAACGAGAUAGAAUAGAAUAUACAAUUGAGGUCGAUGGACAACUGCUGGGACCUAUAAGAGUAUUAGCACUGAAAGAAAAAUAGAGAGUAAAAGGUUACAACGGCAGUUGUAAUAUGAAACAAUUAUUAGAAGAGGGUGGAAGUAAGAUGAGAGAAAGAAUGUGAAUGGCAGUACAAGGAAUGAAAGGGGUUGCAGCUAGGGCCUGAAGGGACGCUGCAAAGGACCUAGGUAAUGGCUACAGUGUACUGUGCAUGAGGUGCGCUGAUGGCAUGUCAUCCCCUACAGAUACACGAGCACCAUAAACCAGACGAACACUAACACACUUCAGACUGGAGAGCCACUCACACAUCAGAAGGACCACUGAGAAUUGGUGUAAUAAACAAGCCUGUACCUACCACCUGUAUUUACUGGUCCAUUAGAACACGAUGGAUGUUAAGCAGAAUGUGCAAACUUCAAGUGAAUUAUGUCUGACUUUAUACAUUAGAUAUAACUAUACAGACAAAUUGUAAGGAAAACUAACAAGAAAUUUCAUUAUUGUGCAGUUGUGUAAAAAUAUGUGGAAAUUUUAUUAUUGUGCAGUUGUGUAAAAAAUAAGUGGAAAUUUUAUUAUUGUACAGUUGUGUCAAAAAGUUGUAGUUUUACAAAAGAAGACAAAAAAUAAUAAGUAAAUCAGACAUUUACAAAAAAAAAACAAGGAAACUAUCUCAUUAUUUUA
Long non-coding RNA from Macrobrachium nipponense, 3746 nucleotides. RefSeq lists it as uncharacterized. The record is from RefSeq and is a predicted model, not a curated record. The transcript has 3 exons. NCBI's taxonomy places the organism in Eukaryota, Metazoa, Arthropoda, Malacostraca, Decapoda, Palaemonidae.